Molecule: transfer RNA, 75 nt
Filed under: Rohdeia mirabilis
Lineage: Bacteria; Pseudomonadati; Planctomycetota; Planctomycetia
Description: Planctomycetes bacterium Pla163 tRNA-Ala
Source: RNAcentral
CGCGCGCUCGCGGACGGGGACGCCGGUGUCCGCGCCGCCGCGGCCGCCGGGGCGUUCGCACCGCCCGGCGCGCGG